Molecule: ribosomal RNA, 224 nt
Filed under: Prosthecochloris sp. JAGS120
Lineage: Bacteria; Pseudomonadati; Chlorobiota; Chlorobiia; Chlorobiales; Chlorobiaceae
Description: partial 16S ribosomal RNA
Source: RNAcentral
CCUUAUUGCUCCACGGCAUACCCCGAGAUCGGGGACAAUACCGGAUGAUGCAGCGGACCGCAUGGUUAUGUUGUUAAAUCAGGAAUGGCCUGUAGAUAAGCCUAUAUUCCAUCAGGUAGUUGGCGGGGUAAAAGCCUCCAGCCUCCGACGGCUAAAUGGUCUGACAGGAAGCUCUUCUAUUUUUCUAUGAUCCGCAACAGAACCUAAUGUACCUCAUAUUGAAA